Molecule: long non-coding RNA, 4631 nt
Organism: Plutella xylostella (diamondback moth)
Lineage: Eukaryota; Metazoa; Arthropoda; Insecta; Lepidoptera; Plutellidae
Source: RefSeq, a predicted model, not a curated record
UUACUGUAAUCCAUGAAUUCAUGAAUGAAACAAUUCAAUUAUAUAUUAAAAUCUUAUUCGCGUCAUUGUCGACAAAAUGUAGCGAGAAACAAAUUAGCGAAAUUCCCUCCCUGAGUAAAAGGGAGUAUCGCUCCUCAACGUUUAAGCCUCCUAGUCUUAAAAAGGAAUUCCCGAAAUCCUAUUCACGGCUUCAAUCAAUACCCCAAUUUCCGUACAUGUGAGGUCGCAGAAAUCUGUAGAUUCAACUCGAACGUCUCAAUCACGGCUCGAGUCGAUCAAGAAACAUUCAAAUUGAGUGGGAUUGUAUUAUUUUUAUUGUAUUAUUUACAUUAUCGGGGUAUGGGGCUGCGCGGGGCCGGGCCCGCCCGUCGAUACCGCGGCCGCUGCCGCGCAUGCGUGGCAUCCGCCCCCGCCCCCUUACUAAUAUAAUAUAAUACCUGAUUUCUACUUUAUGCAUGCUAAUGUCUGAUAUCAGAGGCUCUUAGUACCCUCACCCCUCGGUAAAGAUCUCUCGACAAUAAGGUAGGCUGCUUGCUGAGUUAUCGGUUUUUAUCAGGUCUUCCGUGUUGAUAGUAGACUUAAUAAGGAAGGGUUCCAUCAAGCUUCAGCCACGGCACGUGGAGAAAACUUAAUAACUCUUAAAUUUAUUAAACGUUUUAAAAUUACAAGACAUAAGGAUCUUAAGAUUUUGAUAAUACCUACGGCAAAAAAUUAAGAGGUAUUUUCGUAAAUUACUAUGUACCUACCUUAUAUAUAGGUAUAUUCAACACAAUAAAUUUGUAAGCUACUCUCGCUUCAAUUCAUUGUCUGGGUGUUGCAAAUAUUAAUUUUAAUUAUGCACAGGAAUGCUUUUCCCGACUGCAUAUUAUGGUUCGCCAUUAUUACCUGCAAUAAUUCAAACUCUAGUGACGUGAACCACGCCCUUACUCUGUAAUUACCUAUUUAAAUUUCUACCUCCUAGGAUACCUAGAAUACCUAAAAGAAAACACCUUUCGGGUUUUUAAAAGGAAACAGGAUGUUCUUUUAACGUUCUGGGCGCACGCAACAGUUUUUAAAAUCACCAUAUUUUGCAUGGAGCUUCCCCUUUAUAACGUCACGGGUAUAAUAUAUUAAAACUUUACUUAAUAGUUAGUUUUUCUGCGUUUUCGUGUUUAAAACACAUUAAUGGGACACGGUGUUUCCACUUGUUGGCUAUCAAUUUUCAAAUGUUAAUAUACCUACAUUGGUAUUGUAGAGAUGUAGAGCAAAUUUGUAGACUACUGUUUAGAAAAAACUAAAUUUUAAUAUGUUCAAUUGUUUAUAGCUACGUUAAAUUUGAGAGUAGUUAAGUAAUACUUAAUCUAUUUAUAACAAGGCAUGCUGGAAGAUAAUCCGAGAUAUCUUGUUAAUAAAAUAAAGCUUUAUCUCACAGCUACCUGUUAAAUGGAUGACAAACAAGGUAAUCUGGAGAUAGAAUGAGAUACCGCGGACAAACACGGCGAUAGCAGCUUCCGCUAACAAGAAUACACCCAUUAAUCAGCUUGUAUACCUAUCAUAGUAGUAAAUUAAAAAGAUAAUGUAAUGCAUGGAUAAAAUAUAAAAAAAAAACACAAUUUAAAUUCAUAUGCCAAGUAGAUCAUCCAAAUACUAUAUCAAACAUGAUCUGAUCCAUGUGAUCAUACGACAUAUACGUAUGGUACGUACGAGGAAGGAAUAAAUUCGAUAUUAACAGCGCAAUAAACCAUGGUAAUAAUUUUGAUAUUUUACGGCCUACACAACCUUAAAAUAGAUGUGAGGAUAUAAAACAAAGCGGAUGACAAUUUAUUUUAGUAGGUAACCGAACCAUACAAAUGUAUAAAGUUUAAUAAAGACAGGAAGCACGCAAUAAAUCCCAUGUCAUUGACCUCAAGAGGUGACUUGAGUAUGAAUAAACUGAUGAUACGCAAAAUGUGUUUAGCACAGUCGUUCAGCAAAAUUUUUCCACAUGGAAUCAGUGUGACUACUUCUGACAUGUUGGAAGCAUAUAUCAAGAUUCCGAUUCAUCAUUAUUACCAGCCUGUAAUCGUCCACUAUUGUUCACUUAUUUUUUUGGAUGAAAAGUAGGAGAUUAAUAACUCAUCUUGUAUAUAUUUUUUUAAUUUUAUACACACAGAGGGUAUCGCUAAACAUAACCCUUUGGUGGUUCAAUUAAAUUCGAUACCAUCUGUCAUAUUUAGGGUGUCUUCUACAUCAAAUUAUUUUUACUUUGUUUAUCCCGAGUCCUGGUCAAGCGGCUUCGAAACAAUGUGGCCAAAAAUUCGUUCAAUUUAUUAUUCCCAAUUUUGGUCCCGGUUUGAUCCCUUUUAGUUGCCAUGUGCAAGGUAGCCAAGUCCAGACAGCUCCACCCUAAAAAACCGUUUGUACCAGACGAGAUUCCUAUUCCGUCACUCCCGUUGUGUUUUGUAUGCUUUGUCUCUUUCCCGUUAGCUGUGUAGCAGGAUACAUCUUCCGUCUCUUUUUCGCUUGAGGCCGGCGCACAUUGUUCCGACUCGUGCUAAUUCGUAUGUUUCCGCUUCCCACACGAGGAGCCGCCAUAUUUGGCGGGACUGUCAAGUCAACGCCAGUUUGGCGCGUAUCAAGCUAACGAGGAACAAGGUCAAUUUCCAUCGAUGAGAGCUUCCUCACCACAUUUUUCUUCCUUGAGUGUAUUGAUCGUAGAAUCUCAGCUGUAACAGACUCUUUCCAUUUUAUUUCAGAUGGAGACAGGUUGGGCGGGUCUUCCUAUGGACCAUCUAUGGCGAAAAAUUCUAUGACAUGUGAGUACAUUUAUUAUAAUAUAUUUGAGUCAUUAAAAAUGUGUUAAUACUAAUUUAAACAAAUUAGGUACCUAUGAAAAACUUAUACCUCUUCAAACUGAGCUACAAUAAUUAAGUUGCACAAAUUCCGGGACCAACAACAGGACCUCUAGGUCUUGAAGUGAAGCUUCCACCACUACACCACAGUUAUGCAAAUACAUAUGUACAUAAAACAUCAUAAACAUAUAUUUUUUCACUUGAAUAUCAAAAUAACGAAAAGAUAUAAUUUAAGCCCUUUGCACAAUCCACCACGGUAUACAAAGAAUAGCAGAAUACGAUAGACAAAUAACGGCUUUUAACAAAGAAGUACUGAUAAAUGUUCUUAAGUACCGAGAACAAACUUUCUAGUUCCGUUCAUAUUAACACUUCAAAUGUUUCGGCCGAAUACAUUAGCAUCAAUUAUUUAGGUAUCUUCUGCACAUUUUACCUUUAGCUUCAGUUGAUCCUUCGUGGCUUUUAGGAUAAGUCAGCCAAGGUCUAAAAUUUGACUUUUUUUUUGUACUAGGCAAAAUGCAACAAUGGCCUAAUUUACAAACAAAAGCUAAGCUUUUUUAUCGGUUUGGUUCUGAAUUCCGAAGCCAUGAUGGAUGCAUCGUGCAGCCGAAAUUCCGUGGUCAGUUCGUGCUUGGCACAUACCAUGUUAAUGGGAAGGCAACAAUUACAUGAUGCUGACUAACAAAACGUGUAAAUGGAGCAAUUACCGACAGCGAUGUAGGCUGCUGUACAAUUAGUGGGUUGCUAAUAGUUUUCAUCACCGAUAGUACAGCACCACACUCUGUUCCGAACGCAUCAAUUCUUUCCCAGUGCUCGGCCUAUACACACGUAUUUUUAGCAUUCCCUUUUUCUUUUGUUUUAAUUUUUUUAUUGUAUACUUUACAGUUUCAUCUUGUCCUGCAUCAGUGAUAGCCUGUGGAUCAUUGCUGUUUUUUGAUGUCGUCCCAGAUCGCAGGCAGAAUUGAAAAUGUUGAACACCAGUGAGGCCAAAUGCUAUUUCCAAGUCUGAAUCCUUGGAGAAGAACUCCGUUUGGUGCCCUAUAGCAUCAAAUAUUAGUGCCCUACAUCUACCCUGUAGAUCCGAAUUUGUUUGAAGUGAGGCGACAAAUUCGGUUCUAGAGAGGUUUGUGUGGUGCACGCACUGCAUCGAUGGGAGGAAGCGAACGAAUGUGGCGAGCAAAACGUGAAACAUACGCAGAUACAUUUACGAGACGGCGGAAUGGCAUAUUAUGUUAGGAGGUUCACUGGUUGUUUAAAGAAAUAAAAUUUAUAAACACUUGCUAAUUUGGUGGCGGACCACAUGAGGUUGCAUAAAGCGAUGCGUCGCAAUGACACUGAUGUUUGAUUUAUUUUGUGACUUGCGAUAUAAGAUGUUCGACAACACGCGUCUACAGAAAUACAUGGAAACGAUAGAAACCGAAGUGACGUUGAAACAUGUUGUCGGCUACAACCUCAUGUUGUUUGAAGCCAAUUUGCACGUAUAGUUAGUUCAAUUAUACUUAACACAAAACGGAAAGCCGUGUCUGCUGCCAGUCUGCCGACUUAAAAAUGUAUCUGCUGUCUACGAAAUCGGAUGUUUCUGAAGCAAGUUUGUGGAUUUCUAGAUACUUCUUAUUAGCUAUGUUCACACUUUAGCGAAUGAAAGUGCCUAGAAUCUACACAAUCGUCAAUUCAAGAAGAUUUACCUACAACUACAUGCUUACUGACCUACGUACUUGUUAUAGAUGUCUGAUUAAGAGGUUGAAAUUAUUAUUUUGACUAGUAAUUGUAACCUAUAGGCCUGCUGUGUUCUGUGCAUCAGUGAUUCUACUUUACAUCGUUAUU